RNAcentral lists this ribosomal RNA (449 nucleotides) under uncultured bacterium. RNAcentral's name for it is "partial 16S ribosomal RNA". It matches the Rfam family "Bacterial small subunit ribosomal RNA", at positions 29 to 523 of the family's 1533-position model. The record is from RNAcentral.
AGCGAACGCUGGCGGCAGGCCUAACACAUGCAAGUCGAACGAAGUCUUCGGACUUAGUGGCGGACGGGUGAGUAACACGUGGGAACGUGCCUUUAUGUUCGGAAUAACUCAGGGAAACUUGUGCUAAUACCGAAUGUGCCCUUCGGGGGAAAGAUUUAUCGCCUUUAGAGCGGCCCGCGUCUGAUUAGCUAGUUGGUGAGGUAAAGGCUCACCAAGGCGACGAUCAGUAGCUGGUCUGAGAGGAUGAUCAGCCACAUUGGGACUGAGGCACGGCCCAAACUCCUACGGGAGGCAGCAGUGGGGAAUCUUGCGCAAUGGGCGAAAGCCUGACGCAGCCAUGCCGCGUGAAUGAUGAAGGUCUUAGGAUUGUAAAAUUCUUUCACCGGGGACGAUAAUGACGGUACCCGGAGAAGAAGCCCCGGCUAACUUCGUGCCAGCAGCCGCCGUAA